GGGCAAGUGGUGGAAUGGUAGACACGCAGGUCUCAAAAACCUGUGAGCUCAAACUCAUGAGGGUUCGACUCCCUCCUUGCCCACCA
This 86-nucleotide transfer RNA is filed under the name bacterium. RNAcentral's name for it is "tRNA-Leu". It matches the Rfam family "tRNA". From Rfam's summary of the family: Transfer RNA (tRNA) molecules are approximately 80 nucleotides in length. The record is from RNAcentral.